AACCGCCGUAUACCGAAUGGUACGUACGGUAGAGUGGAAGGUCGGCUGCUCGAUUUUAGAGUGGCCUCCUAUCCGAU
This 77-nucleotide unclassified non-coding RNA is filed under the name Paenibacillus barengoltzii J12. Lineage: Bacteria; Bacillati; Bacillota; Bacilli; Caryophanales; Paenibacillaceae. The record is from RNAcentral.